Molecule: ribosomal RNA, 250 nt
Filed under: uncultured bacterium
Lineage: Bacteria
Description: partial 16S ribosomal RNA
Rfam family: Bacterial small subunit ribosomal RNA
Source: RNAcentral
UACGGAGGACCCAAGCGUUAUUCGGAUUUAUUGGGUUUAAAGGGUGCGUAGGCGGAUUGGUAAGUCAGGGGUGAAAUCCUACAGCUUAACUGUAGAACUGCCUUUGAUACUGCUGAUCUUGAGUGCAGAUGAUGUGGGCGGAAUAUGACAUGUAGCGGUGAAAUGCUUAGAUAUGUCAUAGAACACCGAUUGCGAAGGCAGCUCACAAAACUGUAACUGACGCUGAGGCACGAAAGCAUGGGGAUCGAAC